This 433-nucleotide ribosomal RNA is filed under the name uncultured bacterium. Its description in RNAcentral is "partial 16S ribosomal RNA". It matches the Rfam family "Bacterial small subunit ribosomal RNA", at positions 29 to 507 of the family's 1533-position model. The record is from RNAcentral.
AGCGAACGCUGGCGGCAGGCCUAACACAUGCCAGUCGAACGGAUCCUUCGGGAUUAGUGGCGGACGGGUGAGUAACACGUGGGAACGUGCCCUUUGGUUCGGAACAACUCAGGGAAACUUGAGCUAAUACCGGAUGUGCCCUUCGGGGGAAAGAUUUAUCGCCAUUGGAGCGGCCCGCGUCUGAUUAGCUAGGUGGUGAGGUAACGGCCCACCAAGGCGACGAUCAGUAGCUGGUCUGAGAGGAUGAUCAGCCACACUGGGACUGAGACACGGCCCAGACUCCUACGGGAGGCAGCAGUGGGGAAUCUUGCGCAAUGGGCGAAAGCCUGACGCAGCCAUGCCGCGUGAAUGAUGAAGGUCUUAGGAUUGUAAAAUUCUUUCAGCGGGGACGAUAAUGACGGUACCCGCAGAAGAAGCGCCGGCUAACUUCGUG